AGUGAACGCUGGCGGUAGGCCUAACACAUGCAAGUCGAACGGCAGCACAGGAGAGCUUGCUCUCUGGGUGGCGAGUGGCGGACGGGUGAGGAAUACAUCGGAAUCUACUCUGUCGUGGGGGAUAACGUAGGGAAACUUACGCUAAUACCGCAUACGAACUACGGGUGAAAGCAGGGGACCUUCGGGCCUUGCGCGAUUGAAUGAGCCGAUGUCGGAUUAGCUAGUUUGCGGGGUAAAGGCCCACCAAGGCGACGAUCCGUAGCUGGUCUGAGAGGAUGAUCAGCCACACUGGAACUGAGACACGGUCCAGACUCGUACGGGAGGCAGCAUUGGGGAAUAUUGGACAAUGGGCGCAAGCCGGGUCCAGCCAUGCCGCGUGGGUGAAGAAGGCCUUCGGGUUGUAAAGCCCUUUUGUUGGGAAAGAAAUCCAGCUGGCUAAUACCCGGUUGGGAUGACGGUACCCAAAGAAUAAGCACCGGCUAACUUCUUGCCAGCCGCCGCCGUAA
This 506-nucleotide ribosomal RNA is filed under the name uncultured bacterium. Its description in RNAcentral is "partial 16S ribosomal RNA". It matches the Rfam family "Bacterial small subunit ribosomal RNA", at positions 29 to 523 of the family's 1533-position model. The record is from RNAcentral.